UCUAAACAUGACUUUCUGCUAUAACAUACACAUUUGCCUUUGCUUCUUACUUUUUGCUUAUUUCCAUGGUACAAAGUGCAACUCUCAGGUCUUCCAGACCCCACUAAUGAUUGCUGAAGAAGGACAGGAUACCACAUUUAGAUGUAACCACUCUAUUACAACCUACAAUCUCCUGGUUUGGUACAAACAGCUCCCAGGAUCUUCCCUUGAGAUAUGUGCUUCAGGAAUCUUGCAAGACAUCAUCAAUGGCCGUUUUAAUAUGAGAAUACACAAAGAGAGCUUGUCAACAGAACUUUCUAUCAGCAAAGUACGGGUGGAAGAGUCAGCCCUGUAUUACUGUGCUGUGAGUGACACAAUGGCAGAAACACAGAGCACAGCUGUGCCAAAAGCCCCCCCUUAACAGAUCAUAGUAUUUACAGCACAAACAAUGAGCAAUAAAGAUGAUCAAAUAAAGAUGAUCAUGUAUAACAAAAAAAAAACAUUCAUACUAAUCAGUACUAAUCAGUACCAUAACUUUGCAAUGUACAA
Non-coding RNA from Xenopus laevis (African clawed frog), 528 nucleotides. NCBI's taxonomy places the organism in Eukaryota, Metazoa, Chordata, Amphibia, Anura, Pipidae. The record is from the annotation of a RefSeq genome assembly.